Small nucleolar RNA from Ictidomys tridecemlineatus (thirteen-lined ground squirrel), 201 nucleotides. Its record names the gene SNORA73. It matches the Rfam family "Small nucleolar RNA SNORA73 family". From Rfam's summary of the family: U17 (SNORA73A and SNORA73B) also known as E1 belongs to the H/ACA class of small nucleolar RNAs (snoRNAs). Vertebrate U17 is intron-encoded and ranges in length from 200-230 nucleotides, longer than most snoRNAs. It is one of the most abundant snoRNAs in human cells and is essential for the cleavage of pre-rRNA within the 5' external transcribed spacer (ETS). Lineage: Eukaryota; Metazoa; Chordata; Mammalia; Rodentia; Sciuridae. The record is from Ensembl.
CCAACAUGGACACCCCAGGAGGUCACUCUCCCUGGGCUCUGUUUAAGUGGCCCAGAAGAGAACAGGGUUCUGUCCCAUGAUGUACAGUCCCUUUCACAAUGGUGGAGAUAAAAACGGGCUUUGUGUCUGCACUUGCUUAUUCCUACAACUGCUCAGUCCUGUGAACAAUGAUUGAGAUAACAAACCACGGAGUGAAUGUCU